CAGGAAAGAAUAAAUGAACUAAAAACAAAUGAAAACUAACUAAAACUAAAUAAAACAUGAGCAAAAUGUAUGCAAAUGAUGGAUUCUGAAAAUGUGUAAAACUUGCUUUAUUACAUUGGUAAAUCUUGUUCUCGAGACAAUUAAAUAUUUGAUUUUGUCAUGCGUGUAGAAACUGGCGAAUGGACUGGAGAUUGAUUACUACACGUCUACAUCACACUAUUAUAGUAUAAUUGUUCAUUAGUGGGAGAUGUAACUGGUUUUGUGUUUGAGCUAAAUGAAGAUGUGGAAGCAUUUAUAUUG
Molecule: unclassified non-coding RNA, 300 nt
Filed under: Hevea brasiliensis (rubber tree)
Lineage: Eukaryota; Viridiplantae; Streptophyta; Magnoliopsida; Malpighiales; Euphorbiaceae
Source: RNAcentral